Molecule: ribosomal RNA, 300 nt
Filed under: uncultured Bacillus sp.
Lineage: Bacteria; Bacillati; Bacillota; Bacilli; Caryophanales; Bacillaceae
Description: bacterial SSU rRNA
Rfam family: Bacterial small subunit ribosomal RNA (bases 52-300)
Source: RNAcentral
GUAAAUACGGUGCCAGGUGGCGGGGUAAACGGAAGGGGGAAAACGGUGCGCGGAAUUAGUGGGCUCAAAGGGGACGUAGGCGGCGUUGCAAGUCGGAUGUGAAAUCCCUCGGCUGAGCCAAGGAAGUGCAUCCGAAACUGGAGAGCUUGAGGACGAAAGAGGAUCUCGGAAUUCCCGGUGUAGAGGUGAAAUGCGGAGAUAUCGGGAGGAACACCAGUGGCGAAGGCGGCGAUCUGGGUCGAUACUGACGCUGAGGUGCGAAAGCGUGGGGAGCAAACAGGAUUAGAUACCCGAGUAGUC